CCUACGGGUGGCAGCAGUGGGGAAUAUUGGACAAUGGGCGAAAGCCUGAUCCAGCCAUGCCGCGUGUGUGAAGAAGGCCUGCGGGUUGUAAAGCACUUUCAGUGGGGAAGAAAGCCUUGGGGCUAAUACCCUCGAGGAAGGACAUCACCCACAGAAGAAGCACCGGCUAACUCCGUGCCAGUAGCCGCGGUAAGACGGAGGGUGCGAGCGUUAAUCGGAAUUACUGGGCGUAAAGCGCGCGUAGGCGGUCUGAUAAGCCGGUUGUGAAAGCCCCGGGCUCAACCUGGGAACGGCAUCCGGAACUGUCAGGCUAGAGUGCAGGAGAGGAAGGUAGAAUUCCCGGUGUAGCGGUGAAAUGCGUAGAGAACGGGAGGAAUACCAGUGGCGAAGGCGGCCUUCUGGACUGACACUGACGCUGAGGUGCGAAAGCGUGGGUAGCAAACAGGAUUAGAUACCCGGGUAGUC
This 465-nucleotide ribosomal RNA is filed under the name Vreelandella stevensii. RNAcentral's name for it is "partial 16S ribosomal RNA". It matches the Rfam family "Bacterial small subunit ribosomal RNA", at positions 338 to 795 of the family's 1533-position model. The record is from RNAcentral. Lineage: Bacteria; Pseudomonadati; Pseudomonadota; Gammaproteobacteria; Oceanospirillales; Halomonadaceae.